AGUGAACGCUGGCGGUAGGCCUAACACAUGCAAGUCGAACGGCAGCACAGUAAGAGCUUGCUCUUACGGGUGGCGAGUGGCGGACGGGUGAGGAAUACAGCGGAAUCUACUUUUUCGUGGGGGAUAACGUAGGGAAACUUACGCUAAUACCGCAUACGACCUACGGGUGAAAGCAGGGGAUCUUCGGACCUUGCGCGAUUGAAUGGGCCGAUGUCGGAUUAGCUAGUUGGCGGGGUAAAGGCCCACCAAGGCGACGAUCCGUAGCUGGUCUGAGAGGAUGAUCAGCCACACUGGAACUGAGACACGGUCCAGACUCCUACGGGAGGCAGCAGUGGGGAAUAUUGGACGAUGGGCGCAAGCCUGAUCCAGCCAUACCGCGUGGGUGAUGAAGGCCUUAGGGUUGUAAAGCCAUUUUGUUGGGAAAGAAAAGCAGCAGGUUAAUACCCCGCUGUUCUGACGGUACCCAAAGAAUAAGCACCGGCUAACUUCGUG
RNAcentral lists this ribosomal RNA (492 nucleotides) under uncultured bacterium. Its description in RNAcentral is "partial 16S ribosomal RNA". It matches the Rfam family "Bacterial small subunit ribosomal RNA", at positions 29 to 507 of the family's 1533-position model. The record is from RNAcentral.